This 440-nucleotide ribosomal RNA is filed under the name uncultured bacterium. Its description in RNAcentral is "partial 16S ribosomal RNA". It matches the Rfam family "Bacterial small subunit ribosomal RNA", at positions 338 to 795 of the family's 1533-position model. The record is from RNAcentral.
CCUACGGGAGGCAGCAGUGGGGAAUAUUGCACAAUGGGGGAAACCCUGAUGCAGCGACGCCGCGUGAGUGAAGAAGUACUUCGUUAUGUAAAGCUCUAUCAGCAGGGAAGCAAAUGACGGUACCUGAGUAAGAAGCCCCGGCUAACUACGUGCCAGCAGCCGCGGUAAUACGUAGGGGGCAAGCGUUAUCCGGAUUUACUGGGUGUAAAGGGAGCGUAGACGGCAGUGAAAGUCUGGAGUGAAAGGCGGGGGCCCAACCCCCGGACUGCUCUGGAAACUGUACGGCUGGAGUGCAGGAGAGGUAAGCGGAAUUCGUAGUGUAGCGGUGAAAUGCGUAGAUAUUAGGAGGAACACCAGUGGCGAAGGCAGCUUACUGGACUUUAACUGACGUUGAGGCUCGAAAGCGUGGGGAGCAAACAGGAUUAGAUACCCUUGUAGUC